CCGCCAAGCCCGCCAAGCCCGCCGCGCCCGCGGGCCCCGCCGCUAGCAGCUCCCCGGCCCGGGCGGGCGUCGCGCGUGGGGGCAGCGGGAAGUCGGCGAAGACGGCGGGGGGCGCGGCGGCCAGCAGGUUGCUUCUUCUUCGUGAAGAUGUGCAGAGGGAAUUGCAAAUUGAGAUACAGCGCCAUUAACCAGUAAUCUCUGUGCAGAAUCCAAGACCUUUGGGUCCUGUAACCAUGAAAUUGACAUGUGGAUUUAUUUAAAUCUGGUAGAUUAUAUCAAUAGCAUCCCGUCCAGGACACGGUAUCACUCUCCUUCCAUCCCUCUUGGCUGUGGCCAGUUCUGAGAGCAUGCUUGUAUCCACCGGCCUUGGCAGACCUGAGACUCACUGCACCAAAGGCUUCACCACUCCAGACCAUCUGCUUCAGGUAGUGACACAGAGAGGGAAAGAAACCAUAAUACUGAAGCUUCCCCCCAGUGUGGGAGUGUGUGCAGUGCUCGAACCUCAGUCUCCUGCAUGGCAAAGCAGGCUCCUUCUCAGAGCACCUCUCAGCUGUGACUUAUAAUGGUGGUGCCGGGGAUUGAACCUAAAACUGAGGAGCCUCAAGGAUGAAAGUCUUCUGAAUGGCCACUGUGCUGUCUCCAUAGCAAGAAUGCAUACCUUUUUCUCCACAACAUCUCCAGCACUUGUCAUCACUUGCUUUAUUGAUGGGAGCAAUUCUCACAGUAUCUUGACAGCUCUCCAGGAAAGGCCUGGAAAACCAGACUCAAAUUGGAGGGAAUUGUGCCACUGUAUGGGUCCACACCUCAUUCUGGGCAUGGUAACUAGAAAUGAUGGAGAGAAACACCCCCUUGCUCCUCAGACCCCUUCACCGUUAAGUCAUGUGACCCUGGGAAUAGAAGCAGAACACCUUGCAGUACUUGCUGGGGCUUGCUCAAGUUUCAGAAGAGUGGAAGAGCGCUGGACAUCACAGAUGCAAAUCAGGUGCUGAGUAAGAAUAUCUCUAAAAUCUUUGGGAGUGUUAUGAAAAAAUGGAGGAGAAAUCUUUGGAUGUGUGUGCCUACCUUCUCUCCCCAACAAAACAUUAUAUUGUGCAUCCAUUGCCCAGGGCAGCUGACCUGGCACCUUUCAGUCUUGGGCUGAUCUUUUCUUUGGAAGGAACAAGCUUUAGAAAUCAGACAAGGGGACAGAAUAUUGCUCACCUGGUAGAACACACACACAUUGCCACACACUAGGGCCCAAGCUCAAGCCCCCAGCACUACAUGGGAGUGUCAUACAUGGCACCAGGGGCAGCUCCAGGAAUGGUAGAGUAAUGCUGUGGUGUCUCCUCUUAUUUUUCUCUAUGUCUCUACCUGAAGUUAAAACUGGAAAAUAGUCUGCUUGAAGCAGUGGAAUCACACAUUGACAAGGAUAAAAUGAAGAGAGAGAAAGAAAACAGAUAUGCUCAAAGUCAAUUAAGAUGUAAACAUUCAGCAUUAGUCCUGUGCCUUGCUUUGGAAUUAGAAAACUUUUGCUUUAAUAAAAUCUCUAGUCACAUUUCUUUUUGUUGAUUAAUGAAUAUUUAUGUAAUUAAAAAUUUUAAAUUAUUUUAAGUACUGAAUGUUCAAAAUAGGGAUCAGCAAAUACUACAAAACUGUUGUUUCAUUGCAAGGUGAUAAAAGUAUUUAUGGAUUUCAGAGAUUACUAGAUGUCACAAUUUAGGCUUUAUUUUAUUGGUGCAUUUUUUAUGAUAGUUUUUAUACCACAUCUUUUCUAUUUGUGAAAUGAGCAUGUAUAAAGAUACUUUGAAAGAC
Long non-coding RNA from Erinaceus europaeus (western European hedgehog), 1791 nucleotides. RefSeq lists it as uncharacterized. The record is from RefSeq and is a predicted model, not a curated record. Lineage: Eukaryota; Metazoa; Chordata; Mammalia; Eulipotyphla; Erinaceidae. The transcript has 10 exons.